RNAcentral lists this ribosomal RNA (429 nucleotides) under Bacteroidota bacterium. Its description in RNAcentral is "Bacteroidetes bacterium partial 16S ribosomal RNA". It matches the Rfam family "Bacterial small subunit ribosomal RNA", at positions 355 to 776 of the family's 1533-position model. The record is from RNAcentral. Lineage: Bacteria; Pseudomonadati; Bacteroidota.
UAGGGAAUCUUCCGCAAUGGACGCAAGUCUGACGGAGCAACGCCGCGUGAGUGAAGAAGGAUUUCGGUUCGUAAAACUCUGUUGUUAGAGAAGAACAGCGCAUAGAGUAACUGUUAUGCGUGUGACGGUAUCUAACCUGAAAGCCACGGCUAACUACGUGCCAGCAGCCGCGGUAAUACGUAGGUGGCAAGCGUUGUCCGGAUUUAUUGGGCGUAAAGCGAGCGCAGGCGGUCAAUUAAGUCUGAUGUGAAAGCCCCCGGCUCAACCGGGGAGGGUCAUUGGAAACUGGUUGACUUGAGUGCAGAAGAGGAGAGUGGAAUUCCAUGUGUAGCGGUGAAAUGCGUAGAUAUAUGGAGGAACACCAGUGGCGAAGGCGACUCUCUGGUCUGUAACUGACGCGGAGGUUCGAAAGCGUGGGUAGCAAACAGG